Molecule: transfer RNA, 70 nt
Filed under: Curculionidae sp. 4 AH-2016
Lineage: Eukaryota; Metazoa; Arthropoda; Insecta; Coleoptera; Curculionidae
Description: tRNA-Lys
Source: RNAcentral
CAUUAGAUGGCUGAAAGCAAGCACUGGUCUCUUAAACCACUUCAUAAUAGAAUAGCUCCUAUUUCUAAUG